Molecule: long non-coding RNA, 2179 nt
Filed under: Sorghum bicolor (sorghum)
Lineage: Eukaryota; Viridiplantae; Streptophyta; Magnoliopsida; Poales; Poaceae
Description: long non-coding RNA (SBIC_LNC004186)
Source: RNAcentral
UCCCACGCCUUCUUAUCCACUCAUUUUUUUUCAUCCCCACUCUUCUCUCACAUCUCGCUGCCACUUCCACCACUCGCACCAUGCGGCCGCACAUUCUACCAUGCGCGAGCCGCUCCCCCCUCUUUUUUCUCCUCCCUCUCCGCUGCGACCCACACGCCCUCCAUGCCGCCGGAGUAGAGCACGACGGUGACAGCUUUCAGUGAGCGGCGCAACUCCCUUCCUCCCUGCUCUUUUCUCUCUCGCUCUCGUGACCUCCAUGCAUCUGGAGAUGGAGACAACGACGCAGCUCCGACGAGGUAGGUGGGGAGGGAUUUGGAUCCGAAGCCUUUCUCUCCCUUUUCUCUCUCUCCUCUUAUGGAUCCGGAUCUGAGCCCUCCUCUGCUCCUCCUCCACCUCUUGCUCCUCCUGCUUUUCCUCUGGAUCUAGAUCUAUGGGAUAUUGUGUUGGCUAGGGUUUCGGUGAGCUCUUGGGAUUCAGUGCUCGUACGUGUUGUAAUGGUGUUCUCUGGUUUUUUGCAGUAUAUUUUUCAGGUGAUGUUGCAGUAGGAUAGGGUUCCGGCGAGCUCUCGGGUUCAGAUCUCGUCAUUGUUGCAAUGGUUCUAUCUAGACGUUGCAUUAGGUUUUAGUCGUUGUUGCAGUUUUGUGUUUUGAGAUGUUGUUUCAGUUGCUUCAGUCUGCAUAUUGUAGUAGUUUGUUUUAUGUUGUUACAACAUUUGUUCGGUGUUGUUGUAGUACUAUGUCCAUGGUGUUUUAGUUGCUCCAUCCAAUGCUUUAAUCUGCACUGUUGUAUUAGUUGUUGCAUGUUGUUGCAACAGUUGGUCGAUGUUGUUGUAAUACUAUGUCUAUGGUGUUUCGGUUGCUCCAUCCAAUGCUUCAACCUAUGUUGUUGUAUUAGUUGUUACAUGUUGUUGCAACAACCGUUCUUUGUUGUUGUAAUACUAUAUUUAUGGUGUUUCAGCUAUUCAAUCCAAUACUUCAAUCUGUAUGUUGUAGCAGUUGUUUGCAUGCUGUUGCAGCAGUUGUUCUUGUUUGUUGUAAUAUGAUGUUUAUGAUGUUUCAGCUACUUCAACUUGUUUGUUGUAGCAGUAUGUUAGGUGUUGUUGCACUAUUAUACAUAUUGUGUUGCAGCGUCAAGUGUGGGAAUAGGUUGUAGGGACGAGUUAGCGGCAGGCAGAUCUGCUAGGGGCUGACAAAGCGAGGGGUAGGGCGGAUCCCAUGCUCAUAGGGGCGGAGGAUGGGCUCCUUGCGCGGGAAACGGACGAAGUGCGGUCCUCUGCGUGGGGCGAGCGGGGUAGGGGUAAGUUGGUUGGGAGGGAGCGGAUAAGAAAUAGUCUUCCAGGCGGAGCGAGUGGGGCAGAGGUGAGUUGGUUAGAGACGGAUGGGGUUUUCUUUUUUUUUCUGUGACGCGGGUGGGGGGCUCGGCGUCCGGACGCGUUGUUGGCGCCGGACGUCCGGGCGCUAGCAGUUCCGCAUUUAUAGUGGUGCACACAAGCAUAGCCUUGUAGUAACAUCACCAUUUGAGAGCUUAUUAACAUGGUAAAAAAAGGUUACUUAAUGCUACACUAUUUUUCUACCAUGGUGCCCAUGCACCACUAUAGAUGAACGUACCGUUAUUGUCCUCUCCCAGCUCCAGUCCAGGUACGGCCACUCUCCUUCCCCGCUCUUCCCUUGCCUCCAUCCGACACCUACGGGAGGUGCAGCAUGGCAGGCCCAAGCUCCGGCUGUUAGAUAUGACACCUUCUCGCCUGAUGGACCAUCGCUCGUCUCAUCUCAAAAAAAAGUGUCGUUUUAGAAUUUGAGAUAUCGUUUUGGAUCAUUCGUCUUAUUAAAAUUUUUUACAUAAAUAUUAUAUAUUUUGUUAAGACUUAUUUAUUAUUAGAGAUACUUUACUAAUGAUUUAUUUAUUUUAUAAUUUGUAAAAAAAAUUUGAAUAAAACGAAUGGUCAACUAAAAGUUUAAAAUAUCACCUUUUUAGAGACGGAGGGAGUAGUUGUUUAAAAGUUCCACUGACCGUGUGCUACUUGGACUUGGACAGUUUGACGACAAUGAAUGGCUCCGUUGGUUCAUAUGAUUGGGUCAAUGACAACUUCAUUGGUUCUUAGUGAUAAUCCAAGCCAAAUGACACAUGAACCCUUAGCCCUCCUUGUUUGUGUUAAGGAUUGGUUGUACAAGUCCCACAG